RNAcentral lists this long non-coding RNA (952 nucleotides) under Homo sapiens (human). RNAcentral describes it as "non-protein coding lnc-NCOA3-9:8". Lineage: Eukaryota; Metazoa; Chordata; Mammalia; Primates; Hominidae. The record is from RNAcentral.
CUUCUGCUCCUUGUCUCCCGGAGGCUCCCUGCCCUCAGCAAUAGAAGUGCCCUGGUCUUUGCCAGAACCAAACAGUGGUCACAGCUAGGACCUGCACCGGGGGUCCUGAAUCCACCUUGCCCGGUGCCCAGAUGCCCCUCCUGCUCUCUGGAUGGAGCCCACCCUCAACAAGCACUCCGGCAGGACCAGGUUCCAUGAAGACAAUGCCACUUGGAAUCUGAUAACAAUUGCGGGUCCAGAUGACUCUCGUGGGCAGCAUCCUCCAUGUGGACUCAGCCAUCCAGGUGGCCUCUAUCCUGCAGUGUCCACCUCACAGCUCUGGCACCAUCAUGGUGCAGGUAAGGGAGCCCCAGAAACGCUUCACUCUGAAGUGAAACCUUCAUCUUCUUCCAUCCACAACAGUUGCCUAGAACAUGCCCCAUGACCCCACCUAACUUCAAGGGGAGGGGAGGUGAUAUGGUUUGGAUGUGUCCCCACCCAAAUCUCACCUUGAAUUGUAAUAAUCCCCAAGUGUCAAGGGCGGGCCAGGUGGAGAGAAUUAAGUCAUCGGGGCAGUUUCCCUCACACUGUUCUCAUGGUAGUGAAUAUGUCUCAUGAGAUCUGAUGGUUUUAUAAAGGGGAGUUCCCCUGCACAAGCUUUCUUGCCUGCCGCCAUGUAAGAUGUGACUUUGCCCCUCAUUCACCUUCCGCCACAAUUGUGAGGCCUCCCCAGUCAUGUGGAACUGUGAGUCCAUUAAACCUCUUUCCUUUAUAAAUUACCCAGUCUCAGGUAUGUCUUUAUUAGCAGCGUGAGAACAGACUAAUACAGGAGGUGUUCUGUUCCCAGAAGGAGGGGAGGAGCAGAUAUGCAUGAGUACUCUAUGUUCCCAUCAUUCCUCCUUCCAGAACAUUGCCACAUCUGAGACCCUCCUGUAAAAAAUUCUGGAGCCACUAAUGCUUUCGCAGUAUGGAA